GAAUAGGCUCCCGGCAUUGCGAUGUUUUCUAAAAUUUUCUACAUUUCUGGAUAUCACUAUUACCGUUUUUGUUCACAAAUAAAUUUUAGAUACCAUAAAUGAUAAUUGAAACAAUGAAGUUAAAUUAUCUGAUGUCAAAUUUAGUGGUGUGCUCAGCCAAAUAUGUGAUAUAAUAUAUAAUAUCUUUUCGAAAUUAUGAAAUGCCUUUGGACCUCUGAUAUUUUCGGAUAAUUAUUUCGUUAGAAAAAUUUCGACAAUUUGCUAUGCCACUCAUGCAUAACCUGUCACCUGUCAGUUAAAACAAAACCAACUGAGACCUGAACCAACAAAAAUUAUUUCAAUGAUUGAUUUCUUACUGCCGUUGAUAUUUUCCAUAUUGACGCAAGGAGUCAUGGAUGAUGGAAAUUUUCAACGUCAAGGUCGAGGAUCAUCGAAGAGUGCGAUACAAAGGAGACAAUCAAAAUUUCGGCGUGCAUUCGUUGAGUUCGACCACGAAAAUUUUUUGGCUGGUGCCUGGCCAGGAAGACACAACGAUGGAGUGCGGGAGCGACAUGUGAAUGAUGGUCCCGAGGGAAUAAAUGUCGACUACGAUUCCGAAGAAUUGAUCGACAACUUCCAAAUUGGAGAUGAAGAUGAAAAUGAAAUUGUGGACAACUCACUCGAGAUAAGUUCUAAUGAUAGUGAAUCAAAACAAGAAGACCGGAGUCUACAGAGCGGAGAUUCCGCCACUGAAGAAAGUGAAGAAGAAGAGGACGAACAGGAAAGAGCGAACCGAAGAGGUGAUGAUUGGGAAUGCGCAAGUAUCGAAGAUGAAGAUGGUGAUACCGAGGAUGAUGAAAAUGAAGCUCAUAACAAUACUCCUUUCAUGCAAAGCUCAUUAAAUCAUUUGGACAAGCGGCUUAAUGUACAAGAUCACAUAACUGUGAAAGAUUAUUUCUUAGCUGGAUUAGCGAUGUCAAUGGCACAUAAAUGGACUUAUGAAGCAACAUUGGUAUAUUAUAAAUGGAUCGCUCGCACAACUCAUCACAGUGGUCUACCUACAACAAAAAAAGGUUUAUGGAAAGCUCUACAACGAAACGAUGAAACAGUUACGCGCCAGCUUUAUUGCCGAGAAUGCCGAAUUCCAGUUGGAGUAGGAAAAAUUGUUGAUAAAGAAUGUGAAUGUAAGCUGUGUGGACCUAAUGAAAGUCACAAACACGUUGCGUUUUUCUUUUCAGUUAGUAUGAAACAUCAAAUUGAAGAACUUUUCUGUGUACCCAAUGUAGUUCAAUUUUUGAAAUAUCGCUUUAAUCGACCUCACUCUAAUUGUAUGAGGGAUAUUUAUGACGGUACAGAAUAUAAAAAAUUAUGCGAGCUAGGCAAGUUUCUCCAUAACGAGUGGAAUUUCUCUUUCACAUUCAAUACUGAUGGAGCGUCCAUCUCGGAAUCUUCGUCUUUGAGUGCAUGGCCCCUUUUUGUUCAAAUUAAUGAAUUACCUCCUCACUUGAGGAAAAAACAUAUAUUACUUGCGGGUAUAUGGGUUGACAAACAAAAGCCACUACCAAACGCAUAUAUGUUACCAUUUACGCAACAAAUUAAUAAGUUAUACGUGGACGGCAUAACUUGGCAACCAUCGGUCGGGUACAACAUAAUUAGUAAAUUUAUACCGCUAAUUUUCUGCGCUGACUCUGGAGCGCGUUAUGAAUAUUUACGAAUGACUCAAUUCAAUGGUAAAUGGGGAUGCACUUUUUGCUAUCAUAAGGGUACAUUUAUCGCGGGAAUAAAAGGGUCAAAAUAUCCCGCUGACGAUACCUAUUCUCUCCGCACGGAUGCAUCAAUACGAGCUGAUGCCGUGGAAGCAUUAGAAAAUUAUCAACAAGGGAAAAGAGAUGUAAACAAUAUUAGGGGAGUGAAAGGGCCCUCCGCUCUAGGACUUCUCAAGGGUUUUGACUUAGGAAAAGGUUCUGUCGUUGACACUAUGCAUAAUAUAGCUGGUGUGGUAAAGCAUCAUCUUUUGAUGUUUCUAAAAGAUGUAGGAGAGGAGUGGUACAUUGGUGAGCCACAAAGUAGGCGAAAAAUUGAUAAAGUAAUGUUGUCGAUAAAAUUUCCUAGUCGGAUAUCAAGGAGAACGCGGGAGUUAAAAUACGUAAAUUCAUACAAAUGUUCAGAAUGGCGCAAUUUUGCAUAUUAUGGGUUAAUUUGUUUGGAAAAAAUUUUGCCUGAUAAAUAUCUAAAACAUUUAGCGUUGUUAUUUGAAGCUGUAUAUAUAUUAAAUGGCGAUUGUAUCAUUCUUGAUGACAUCGAUUAUGCUGAGAAUCUUUUAAAACGAUACGUGAUAAAUUUUGAUUUCUAUUUUGAAACUAAAAAAAUGACCUAUAAUAUCCACUUGCUAACACAUGUAUGUCAAACUGUCAGAAAUUGGGGCCCAAUGUGGGUCCACAAUGCAUAUCCAUUUGAAUCCAUGAACCGAAAGAUUAUUCAGGCAAUAACAAGUUCUAAUGGAGCAGUACUGCAAGUCUAUACCAGAUUUCUAAUGAACAAAUUCAUCCAAAAUUGUGCAUAUGAUAAAACAAUAUCUCAUGACACUAGGAAUUACAUUUCAGAACUUUUAAAUGUAGUACAUUAUGAUUACUCUAUUGAGCGUAACGAUAUCCGCAGCCAUCGCUUUGUUUGCUUAGGAAAAGGAAAUUGCAGACAGCCGUCUGAAAGCGAACGUGAUAUUAUCUGUCAAGCUGGAUAUGUUCCUGAAAAUUUCACAGUUUAUAAACAUGCUCGCAUCGAUGGGAUUGAUUAUAGAACACUUGAUUUUCGGACAACAACUAAUUUUUCCAAUUGUACCAUUUGUUACAAUGACGAGAAAUUCGGUGAUAUUUCUUCAAUAGUUAAUUUUUCGAAUGGGGACGAAAUUAUUAAUGGCCUCUUUGUAAAGCGGUUUCAAUAUCUUGGAAACGCCUGUAAUACAAGAUUCAUAAAAAAUGUGAGUCCCUGUGAUGAGCUAGUUUUAAUACAGGCCAGCAAUAUCACAGGCCCAGCGUUGAAAGUGGAUAGUGCUGAAGGAAUCCGUGUUAUGAAAUUGCCCAACGUAUGGGAAACUGAUUAAAUUCAAUGAUGUAGUUACACGAUGGAAGCAAAAAAAUGUAAUUUGGCAAAAAUCAAACUUAUUCUUAAUACCUAUUUUAUGAUCGGCGUAUUCAAACCAAUAUAUAAAAUUUGACAUUACUUACACA
This is a long non-coding RNA of Fopius arisanus, 3206 nucleotides long. RefSeq lists it as uncharacterized. The record is from RefSeq and is a predicted model, not a curated record. Lineage: Eukaryota; Metazoa; Arthropoda; Insecta; Hymenoptera; Braconidae. The transcript has 3 exons.